This 508-nucleotide ribosomal RNA is filed under the name uncultured bacterium. Its description in RNAcentral is "partial 16S ribosomal RNA". The stretch from base 20 to 330 matches the Rfam family "Bacterial small subunit ribosomal RNA", at positions 47 to 358 of the family's 1533-position model. The record is from RNAcentral.
GACGAACGCUGGCGGCGUGCUUAACACAUGCAAGUCGAACGGAAAGGCCCUGCUUUUGUGGGGUGCUCGAGUGGCGAACGGGUGAGUAACACGUGAGUAACCUGCCCUUGACUUUGGGAUAACUUCAGGAAACUGGGGCUAAUACCGGAUAGGAGCUCCUGCUGCAUGGUGGGGGUUGGAAAGUUUCGGCGGUUGGGGAUGGACUCGCGGCUUAUCAGCUUGUUGGUGGGGUAGUGGCUUACCAAGGCUUUGACGGGUAGCCGGCCUGAGAGGGUGACCGGCCGCAGCGGGGGCGGGCGACGCGCGCGACUGCUGGGGGGGGGGGGUGGGGGGCAGACGGCAGCAGGGGGCGGUGGUCGGUGGGGCAGGGCCGGGGGGGGGCGGACGGCCUGCGGGUGGGACCCCGCUGGCGGUUGGGAGGGGUGGGGGGUGAGGGUAAGGGGAACAGAACCACCGGCGACCGACGUGCCAGGGGACGCGGUAUAGGGGGAGGCGCACCCGACUGAAC